RNAcentral lists this transfer RNA (85 nucleotides) under Felis catus (domestic cat). It matches the Rfam family "tRNA". Rfam says of the family: Transfer RNA (tRNA) molecules are approximately 80 nucleotides in length. Lineage: Eukaryota; Metazoa; Chordata; Mammalia; Carnivora; Felidae. The record is from Rfam by way of RNAcentral.
GCCUGGGUGGCUCAGUCGGUUGAGCAUCCGACUUCGGCUCAGGUCACGAUCUCACGGUCCGUGAGUUCGAGCCCCGCAUCAGGCU